This 872-nucleotide long non-coding RNA is filed under the name Canis lupus familiaris (dog). RNAcentral describes it as "lncRNA (ENSCAFG00000051488.1)". Lineage: Eukaryota; Metazoa; Chordata; Mammalia; Carnivora; Canidae. The record is from RNAcentral.
UCUGUUGGCUGAUGCUUGGGGCAGGAGAGAGGGUCUCUGCCGGCCUGGGCACCUCUCACUUCCCAAGUCAGCAGAUCCAUCUUUCUGAUGCUAUACUGUAAAUUUAUUUCACCUCGGAGAGUAAACAGAUAUAUUGGAGCCCCAAGGGUUCAUGGGUAGCGUAUUUACAAAGGAGCCUCUCCGCCAGCCCGUGCCACCGCUGCUAAUGAGAGCGGUCAUUAAGUAAAUGAGACGUCGCCUUUAGCUGGCUUAGGAGUCGCACACUAAAGGGAGAAGAUAUUUAAUUGAAACCCGCACACAGGCUUCCCCACAUGUGACCGCGGUGAGGGAGGCAGCUGCCUCCCCUCCCCCGUCCACCCUGCACCCCCCAUGUAAAUUUCAUGAUUGCUUUCCGUGAUGUCAUUUUGAAGGAGGACAGACAAUAGCUGUGGGGAAAGAAAAUGAGUUCCGGGGUGAGCUGCUGAGUCAGAGGUGGACACAAGGAGACAAAGCCAGCAACUGCAGGACCUCGAGGCUCCUCCUGGGCCGACGCGGCAAGGUGAGGCGCUUGGAGGGCAGCCCCUUCCCUGCCACCUGCCCCCCGCCCUGGGUCUGGGCAGGGCUCCUUCUCACUUCCAAGCAUGGGGCACGGAGGUGACUUUUGUCUGGUCACCACGAGUCUAGGGUAGACAGAGGGUUACAUGGGGGCUAGGACCAUCAGUGAUCUGGUCACUGUGAACCUUAAGGAAGAAAAAUGACUCUGAAUAGAGUGAAACUAAAAUAUGACAGCAGGGUGUUGCCUGGGCCAGGUGGGGGCUCUGGGUCUGGUCACACGGGGCUGUCCCCGUAGCUGCUCCCCAGGCAGGCCGAAUGCUUGGUAGACUUUGCUGCGG